This 91-nucleotide microRNA precursor is filed under the name Alligator mississippiensis (American alligator). Its description in RNAcentral is "microRNA ami-mir-93 precursor". Its record names the gene ami-mir-93. The stretch from base 9 to 86 matches the Rfam family "mir-17 microRNA precursor family". From Rfam's summary of the family: This family represents the microRNA (miRNA) precursor mir-17, family, which includes mir-20, mir-91, and mir-103. miRNAs are transcribed as ~70nt precursors (modelled here) and subsequently processed by the Dicer enzyme to give a ~22nt product. In this case the mature sequence comes from the 3' arm of the precursor. The extents of the hairpin precursors are not generally known and are estimated based on hairpin prediction. The record is from miRBase by way of RNAcentral. Lineage: Eukaryota; Metazoa; Chordata; Crocodylia; Alligatoridae.
CUUGAGCUGCGGUGGCUCCAAAGUGCUGUUCGUGCAGGUAGUGUGUGCAGCCAUCUACUGCCGGGCAGCACUUCCCGAGCCCCCGCAGCCG